Helianthus annuus (common sunflower) is the source of this 3838-nucleotide long non-coding RNA. RefSeq lists it as uncharacterized. The record is from RefSeq and is a predicted model, not a curated record. The transcript has 2 exons. NCBI's taxonomy places the organism in Eukaryota, Viridiplantae, Streptophyta, Magnoliopsida, Asterales, Asteraceae.
ACCAGUCUACAGAGUAAUAAUCGAUUUUGUUUAUAUAAACAAGUUUCUAAGUGUUCCUUUUCACCAGUCUACAGAGACUUUGAAAUUCAAUCAUCGGCCCAGAACAAAAUGUUUGAUCCAUUUUCUAUAUCAUCCUAUUUAGUUUUAAGAUUAAAAAAAUCUUUGGCAAAUCAAAACUUAUUUCCUUGUCACGUGUGAGCUUGUAGUAGGUACAUAAUACAUUAGGUCUUGAAUUGUUGUUCACACACUUGAUAGACUUCUUCAUCUAUAAAAGGAGCUAUUCCAUACACCUUAAAACUCAAAAGUGGUACCUUCAUCAUUCACAUAUGCCCAUUCCUGACACAUCUUUUAGAUGAUUCUUUGAUUUGGAUGUUCUAAGAAGAUGCACGAAACGUAUCAAGCGUGAGGGGUUUCUGUGCGAUUCUUGUCAAGUGAGCAGUCUUUGCGGUUCAUCUCUUUUUCGUUGUCUGUUCGACCUUGAUUAUCUUAUAUACAUAUCUGCACCCCUAGUUUUACAGAUUAUUUUCUUGCUCUAACACAAUUUUUUGGUCCCUUUCAAUCAUAUAUCCUGAUAUUCAAUUCGAUCUAUAUUUUCAUAGAAGUACCGAUUAACCAACCUCUAGCUCCCCCGUUUUUUAUAACCUAGCUUUGAUCUCGUUAGGCAUAGUUAUAAACUACCAAUCUAGUUAUAUACAAACAAAAAAACGACGAACCAAAUAAACAAACGCACCUUAUAAGAUCCCACUUAUAGCAUGGUCCGGGAAAAGGUGAGAUAAGGACAAACUUUUUCUCUAUCACAUGACUAGGGUGUAAAUGAGUCGAGCCCGAGUUCGAGCUCAUUCAACAUGCGAGAGCUUAAGUUCAAGCCCGGCUCAAUUCGAACUCAUUUCUAAAAUUCGAGCUCAGCUCGUGACAAGUUUUUCAUACUCGAACCCGAUCAUUUAUUUAGUUAAUUUAUACACAUUUAUAAUUAACAUUUUUUAUAUUUAAUCAUUGCAAAUUUAUAUAUAGUAAUAACUAUUAUAUAAAUAUGUUGUAUAUAAAUAAAUUUAUGUUAACAAGAUAGAUAAGUGAAGUUGUGGCUUGGAAUCGUAUUAAACAAGCUUAUUUUUAGAGUCGGGCUUAGGCCUUAGCUCCAAUAAACUUGGCUCUGAUCGACCUUUUAGCGGGCCCAACUCAAGUAGCUCACGAGCGGUUUAGCUCGUUUAAACCCCUACGCAUGACUAACCAACUAAUUACAAACAAUGACCAUUUUUGCAAAUCUAGCAUAUAAGUGUAUUAUUAGAAUAAACUAGCUAUAGGUAGCGUUCAUUUCACGAAAUAAAAUGGAAUCUUAAUUGAAUUGGAAUGCUGAUUUUGUUUCUUAUUUUGUUGGUUUCAAUAAAAAAUUUAAUUGGAAUUUAUCAACAUAAAAAAGGAAAUCGAGAGUCUAAUUUCAUCCGGAUUACAAUUUAUUCUGUGAAACAAACACAUAUAAAUUCAAAUGAAAUUUCAAUUUCGACACGAAUUCCAAUUCUAGUUUUAUUAAAUUCAUGAAACAAACUACCUAAGGUUCGCUACCGAGUUGAGACUUCCAUGUGUAUAAGACCACCCGUAGUGGGGCGUUUUUUAUAAAAAAAAAAUCAAAGAAAACGCCUAAUCACGCCCAUAGCCCAUUACGGGGUGGCGUUUUGUGGCGUGUUCCGAGCCAAAAAUUGUUUUGGCGUUUUUGUAAUCACGCCUUAGCCUGCAUUCUCAUUUCCAUUUUAGCCAAUAAGAAUAUUCCACCUAAUUUUUAGUUUAGUUUACUUUUAUUUUUUUAAAUAAUUGGGUAAUCAUUGAUGGGGCAUUAUUGGGCAUUAUUCCACUACGCCUAUUUGUGAAAAACGCCCGUAAUGCCCAUUUACUGACUGGGAUGACACGUGUCGCACAACGCCCAUGAAUGGGGGCAUUAUUCAUGUGUACCACUACCCAUUACAUGUUCUAAUAAAGUUACCACUUAUGCAUGAGAUUCCUCAUAAUUAAAGGUGAUCGAUACUUCCAAGUAUCGAAUGAUUUAUUAGUUACGUCAUGAGUGAAUGCCAAUAAAGUUACCACUUAUGCAUGAUUCCUCAUAAUUUGUUUAGAAGAAAUAAUAAUGUUGCUAAUUUUGUUUGGUAAUUUAUAGGAAAUAUCUGUACGGGCUAAUAUUUUAUUAGGCACUUUUUAUAUACAAAUUUUAAACGGUUAUAAUAGAAGGGAUUCCACUAUUUCCUCACCUACUGUAUCCUCACCUACCCACGUACACCAACAAAGAAAAAUAAGCUUUCUUGAAUUUUGAUAAUGACCACUCAAUAUUUCUAUAAUAUUCACCCUUUCCAUUUUCUCUGCACAUAUUUUAAUACGUGUAUUAAUUUACCAUCAACAAAUAUCCAACAUAUUAUACAUACAUAUAUAUAUUUUUCAGUUUAGUUUGAGUCGGAUUUUUUAUUAAACAAACGUUACAUGUUCGAAAUAUUUAUUUUAUUAACAAAAGAGAAUUUAAUGUACGAAGAAAGGUUUGGUCCACAUUUUUUGGAUCUCAUGUUAAAGCCAUCGCUUAGUUAGAUCUGACCUCGAUAUGUUAUACCUACUACCACUAAAAGACGAUUAAUUUCAAAAGAAUCCUCAUGUAUAAUAUACAGUUUUUGUGGGUUCAAGAUUCCUGAACCCCAUGGCUAUGACUUAUGUGGCUUAAUAAUCACCACCAGUAUCAUCCACCACCCUCAGGAGGGGAUUAUCAUGGCUCUGUAAAGUUAUCAACUAUUUUAGUGGUCCUUGAUAACUCCGUUGCUAGACUACAAACACAUAAAGUAUCAUGUUGCUAGUUUUAAUUGAUUUUAUGAUUAUGAUAAUUUAUAGUGCCACAUAAAGGUUUUUACUAGAUCCACCACCCAUCCCUCUUAGCCCUUUGUAUACAUCUACCUAACACAAACAAAAAGCACUUCUGUAUAUGGACCAUUGUCAUAUACACUCAUAUACAGGGGCACACUCUUUUCAAAACCAAUUGUACGUUGUAAACUGCGAGAACCGCGUAAUAUAGAUGUCGCUUCGAUGGAAACAGUAAAUAUGAGAAACAGUGUUUUUUUUAAAAAAAAAAAUCACCACUCUUGUUUUGAGUUUAUCUACUCUCUCCUAAUUUUUUUUAAAAGCACAAAUAUGUGUAUAUAUACAUGCAUUUAUAUGUGCAUGUAGUGGAUAUGCAUUUGUGCAUUUUGUUAAAAGACUAGUGGUACUAAAUUUUAUUAUAAAUAAAACCAUAAAGAUAUUGAAAUACAUAUGCAUUUUAGUCAAUUUAUAGGGUUAAUGGAGUUCUCAAAUACUAUUUGCUAUGAAAAAAACACCAAUAUAUGUGUGUGUGUAAGUGUAAAUUAUGUAUAUCAAGGUGGAACAGACGAUGAAUGUGAGGUGGUAACAAGCAAAAAGACUGGUUAUUUGACAAGAGUAUGCAUGGAAACCAACACUGAUGGUGGGCCGAAAAAGAAUAAUUAAUUGGUGAUAGAUAAAGAAAGGUUCGGUGGUCCAUCUCCAUAGAUUUGAGGGGGUCACUGCAGAAGAUCGAUAGAAAAGACACCAAUGAUCCAAUGUGUCGAUGAUGGCUAGUGGAUAUUCAUGGAUACCAAGUUCAAGCAACAGUACUCAAGUUAAUAGAAGCAUGAUAUUGAAUAAUUAUGCUUAGUUAGUAAAAAAUAUAUGCUCCAUUGUUUUUUUUUUUUUUUAAAUUCUUGAGGGGUAUUACAAUGUUAUACAUGUACACAAAAAGUUUUUCUUUUUCAUCAUAUUUUUUUAGUGUAGAAAAAGAAAGACGUAUAUCUACACGUGUUGCAUAUCUAUUUUCUUU